CUGCCCAGUGAUCAAUGACAUGAUUUAACGGCCGCGGUACCCUAACCGUGCAAAGGUAGCAUAAUCAUUUGCCCUAUAAUUGAGGGCUUGUAUGAAUGGUUUGACAAGAACAAUACUGUCUCUUAAAAAUUUACUAAAAUUUGGUUUUUAGGUGAAGAAACCUAAAUAAAAUUGAAAGACAAGAAGACCCUAUCGAGCUUAAAAAAUACGUUAACUAUAUAGAAAAACAAACUAACGAAAAAAUUUGGUUGGGGCGACUAAGGAACAAAUAAAACUUCCUUUAAUAUAAAAAACUUAUAUGUAUUGAUCCAAAAUAUUUGAUUAAAAAAAUUAGUUACCGUAGGGAUAACAGCAUAAUCUUUUUAGAGAGAACAUAUCGAAAAAAAGGUUUGUGACCUCGAUGUUGGACUAGGAUAUCCUAAUAGAUUGCAGAAGUCUUUAAAGG
RNAcentral lists this ribosomal RNA (445 nucleotides) under Pseudobaikalia contabulata. RNAcentral's name for it is "partial 16S ribosomal RNA". It matches the Rfam family "Bacterial large subunit ribosomal RNA", at positions 1859 to 2571 of the family's 2925-position model. The record is from RNAcentral. RNAcentral also lists the same sequence under 1 other name. Lineage: Eukaryota; Metazoa; Mollusca; Gastropoda; Littorinimorpha; Baicaliidae.